Pelobates cultripes (western spadefoot toad) is the source of this 319-nucleotide non-coding RNA. The record is from the annotation of a GenBank genome assembly. Lineage: Eukaryota; Metazoa; Chordata; Amphibia; Anura; Pelobatidae.
CCUGACUGCCGCAUUCAGGACCUGCUGAAGCUCUCUGUUAGAAGAAUUAUCUAGAGGCAAAUGCCCAGCUAUGAUGAUGCCAAACCAAUCUAUGGAGGUCUUCAGAUGUUAAGGCUUCAGGUGGAAAUAGUAUAUUCCUUAGAUGGGCACAUUCAAAUCCUAUUAUGACUGACACUUGAUGUUUGAGUGUCACAUUUCAAUCUAAAUCUAUUCCAAGGUUCAACAUUGUUAUUGAUUUUACCGGUUUCAAGUUUACGAAAUACUACAUUUCAUGGACUCAAUGAUUUUUGGUAAAUUGUGGUGGUGCAUUAAGUAGCUU